RNAcentral lists this unclassified non-coding RNA (689 nucleotides) under Hevea brasiliensis (rubber tree). The record is from RNAcentral. Lineage: Eukaryota; Viridiplantae; Streptophyta; Magnoliopsida; Malpighiales; Euphorbiaceae.
UUUAUUUAUUUAUUUUCAAUUUUCUUUCCUUUGUUUGGCUGCUGGGAAAAUUUGGUUGUGCCCCUGCUUUCCGAGUAAUAAUGAGAUUGAUAUUUGCAUUUCCUUACUUCUGUCUUAGUUUAUAGCCUUUUUUGCAUCCAAUUUCCUCUGGAAUGACUCCCUUUUGCACUUCAUGACUAAAUUUUAGUGGACGCAUAUCUAUUAAAAAUAAUUUCACUUUGAAAAUUGCUGUGGAAUUUGUUUAAUCUGUGAGUCUACCCUUUUCAUUUGUUGUUGUUUAUAUUUUUGGAUACCAUUUUUAUGAAUUUGAAGCUAAAUUGUAAGUUCUUAUAAUGAUUUGUUUAAAUUCUUGUUCAAAUUCUGCUAUCUAUUGUUAAUUCUUGUCUGAAUUCUUGUUUUUAGUUGGGUUAUCUGUUGUGAUUUGUUUUUAUUUAUACUAUGGCAUCUAUUGGAAUUGGGCUUUGGGAUUGGACUGGGUGGGAGAGAACUAGUUGCUUAGCCUCAAUACCCUGUCAUUUCCAGCACAUUGCUGGUAUAUUCAUGAAUAUGAGUUCAGGUUAUUUGUAGCUAUGAUACAGACUACAGAGUGUCCUCUUAUUUGCCAACUGUUCAUGUUAUUACCAAUUGUUUCCUGCUGAGCAAGAUAAUGAUGUGCUAAAGAAUGCAUAUUGGUGUGGAUUAUACAUCCC